UGCCGCUGCACUCCAGCCUGGCGCCUGGUGACAGAGUGAGACUGUGUCUCAAAAAAAAAAAAAAAGAAAAAAAAAAAAAAAGAAUGUCAUCAGUACAGAACUGUUGGAGUCCUUCUUUGCCAGCCUCAGUAUUGAGUCUGUGUAGAAAGUCCCCGGCAAGUAGCUACGUGCAGGUGGUUGCUCAGAGAGCAUUUUCUGACAAUCUGUGCCUGGAACAUUCAUUGAGGAGGCUGUUCAUUGGCUUUUUGUGGCAGGAGGCUUCUGUGACCGUGGAAGAUUGGGAAAGAUUGUAGUAAGGAUAGUAAUGCAGGUUGCUUUGCUGCAGGACUUCUCAGGUAAUUUAAUAGUCCCCUCUGAACAGAAUGGGAAACUUCUCCACUGUGCACUUACACAUCCCAUUAGAAAGUGAGGGAAAGAGGAAAAUGGGUGUGUGUCGGAGGGUCUGUUUGCACAGGGGAGAGGGGUGUGAGGGCGGAUAAAGGUUGACUCUCCUGAGUUGGCUAUCAUAAUGAUUUCCCCGAAGCUUGAUGAGGGCUGUGCUGCUGUUCGGGGGUGUGUUGGGAGGGAAAUCUCAGACCGCAAAGAUGAGUUCCACAUGAGGAGUCACACACCUGCUAUGAAGUAGUAGAAGGAAAAGCUCUGUCAAUUUAGAUGACAACUAUUUUCCUUGCUUCUUUAUUUAUUGGAAAAGAAGAAUUUGUGGAUGAAAGAAUUCCUUGGGGAUAAAAUGCCAUUUAGUUUAAUGUGACAACAAUAUGUUUUCAAGUCACCAUAAAUGAAAAUGUUUACUAGAAACAAUGGCAUUUACAUUUACGGACAUGAAUUUUGUGUAGUAUUUAAGAGAGUGAUGAUAUAUGGGCAUGUGGGAUGGUUUUCUUUCCAUGAAUUUGGGAAUAAUAGAAUUGUCACCCACAAAUGUUUAUUUUUUGUUUUCACUUACAUAUAGGGUUUUUACUCUGUUGCCCAGGCUGGAGUGCAGUAUCCUUUGGCCCAGUCAUAGGCCACUAAAGCCUUGAACUCCUGGGCUCAAAUGAGUCUUCCACUUCAGCCUCCUGAGUAGCUAAGGCUACAAGUGUGU
Sapajus apella (tufted capuchin) is the source of this 1078-nucleotide long non-coding RNA. RefSeq lists it as uncharacterized. The record is from RefSeq and is a predicted model, not a curated record. The transcript has 3 exons. Lineage: Eukaryota; Metazoa; Chordata; Mammalia; Primates; Cebidae.